UAGGGAAUCUUCCGCAAUGGGCGAAAGCUUGACGGAGCAACGCCGCGUGAGUGAUGAAGGUCUUCGGAUCGUAAAACUCUGUUAUUAGGGAAGAACAAAUGUGUAAGUAACUAUGCACGUCUUGACGGUACCUAAUCAGAAAGCCACGGCUAACUACGUGCCAGCAGCCGCGGUAAUACGUAGGUGGCAAGCGUUAUCCGGAAUUAUUGGGCGUAAAGCGCGCGUAGGCGAUUUUUUAAGUCUGAUGUGAAAGCCCACGGCUCAACCGUGGAGGGUCAUUGGAAACUGGAAAACUUGAGUGCAGAAGAGGAAAGUGGAAUUCCAUGUGUAGCGGUGAAAUGCGCAGAGAUAUGGAGGAACACCAGUGGCGAAGGCGACUUUCUGGUCUGUAACUGACGCUGAUGUGCGAAAGCGUGGGGAUCAAACAGG
This 429-nucleotide ribosomal RNA is filed under the name Actinomycetes bacterium. RNAcentral describes it as "Actinobacteria bacterium partial 16S ribosomal RNA". It matches the Rfam family "Bacterial small subunit ribosomal RNA", at positions 355 to 776 of the family's 1533-position model. Lineage: Bacteria; Bacillati; Actinomycetota; Actinomycetes. The record is from RNAcentral.